RNAcentral lists this ribosomal RNA (433 nucleotides) under uncultured bacterium. RNAcentral describes it as "partial 16S ribosomal RNA". It matches the Rfam family "Bacterial small subunit ribosomal RNA", at positions 29 to 507 of the family's 1533-position model. The record is from RNAcentral.
AACGAACGCUGGCGGCAUGCCUAACACAUGCAAGUCGAACGAGACCUUCGGGUCUAGUGGCGCACGGGUGCGUAACGCGUGGGAACCUGCCCUUAGGUUCGGAAUAACUCCCCGAAAGGGGUGCUAAUACCGGAUAAUGUCUUCGGACCAAAGAUUUAUCGCCUUUGGAUGGGCCCGCGUUUGUUUAGCUAGUUGGUAGGGUAAAAGCCUACCAAGGCGACGAUCCAUAGCUGGUCUGAGAGGAUGAUCAGCCACACUGGGACUGAGACACGGCCCAGACUCCUACGGGAGGCAGCAGUGGGGAAUAUUGGACAAUGGGCGAAAGCCUGAUCCAGCAAUGCCGCGUGAGUGAUGAAGGCCUUAGGGUUGUAAAGCUCUUUUACCCGGGAUGAUAAUGACAGUACCGGGAGAAUAAGCUCCGGCUAACUCCGUG